This 75-nucleotide transfer RNA is filed under the name Aeromonas phage PX29. RNAcentral's name for it is "tRNA-Ile". It matches the Rfam family "tRNA". Rfam says of the family: Transfer RNA (tRNA) molecules are approximately 80 nucleotides in length. The record is from RNAcentral. Lineage: Duplodnaviria; Heunggongvirae; Uroviricota; Caudoviricetes; Pantevenvirales; Straboviridae.
AGCCAUGUAGCUCAGUGGUAGAGCACACCCCUGAUAAGGGUGGGGUCGGCAGUUCAAUCCUGCCCAUGGCUACCA